UUGCUCCUGGAUUCAGCGGCGGACGGGUGAGUAAUGCCUAGGAAUCUGCCUGGUAGUGGGGGACAACGUUUCGAAAGGAGCGCUAAUACCGCAUACGUCCUACGGGAGAAAGCAGGGGACCUUCGGGCCUUGCGCUAUCAGAUGAGCCUAGGUCGGAUUAGCUAGUUGGUGAGGUAAUGGCUCACCAAGGCGACGAUCCGUAACUGGUCUGAGAGGAUGAUCAGUCACACUGGAACUGAGACACGGUCCAGACUCCUACGGGAGGCAGCAGUGGGGAAUAUUGGACAAUGGGCGAAAGCCUGAUCCAGCCAUGCCGCGUGUGUGAAGAAGGUCUUCGGAUUGUAAAGCACUUUAAGUUGGGAGGAAGGGUUGUAGAUUAAUACUCUGCAAUUUUGACGUUACCGACAGAAUAAGCACCGGCUAACUCUGUGCCAGCAGCCGCGGUAAUACAGAGGGUGCAAGCGUUAAUCGGAAUUACUGGGCGUAAAGCGCGCGUAGGUGGUUUGUUAAGUUGGAUGUGAAAUCCCCGGGCUCAACCUGGGAACUGCAUCCAAAACUGGCAAGCUAGAGUAUGGUAGAGGGUGGUGGAAUUUCCUGUGUAGCGGUGAAAUGCGUAGAUAUAGGAAGGAACACCAGUGGCGAAGGCGACCACCUGGACUGAUACUGACACUGAGGUGCGAAAGC
Molecule: ribosomal RNA, 684 nt
Filed under: Pseudomonas sp. GA25-2
Lineage: Bacteria; Pseudomonadati; Pseudomonadota; Gammaproteobacteria; Pseudomonadales; Pseudomonadaceae
Description: bacterial SSU rRNA
Rfam family: Bacterial small subunit ribosomal RNA
Source: RNAcentral